RNAcentral lists this ribosomal RNA (628 nucleotides) under uncultured fungus. RNAcentral's name for it is "eukaryotic LSU rRNA". The stretch from base 86 to 239 matches the Rfam family "5.8S ribosomal RNA". Lineage: Eukaryota; Fungi. The record is from RNAcentral.
GAGCCGGGGCGAAUUGUUUCACUUUACAAACAUACACCACAAAGUUUAGUAGAAUGUAACCGCCGUUAAGGCAAAAACUUAAUACAACUUUCAACAACGGAUCUCUUGGCUCUCGCAUCGAUGAAGAACGCAGCGAAAUGCGAUAAGUAAUGUGAAUUGCAGAAUUCAGUGAAUCAUCGAAUCUUUGAACGCACCUUGCGCUCCUUGGUAUUCCGAGGAGCAUGCCUGUUUGAGUGUCAUGAAAUUCUCAACCUCUUCUUGCUUUGCGGCUUGAAGUAGGCUUGGAUUUGGGAGCUGCUGGUUUAACGAUCGGCUCUCCUUGAAUGCAUUAGCUGGACUUUCCGAUUUAAUAGCGGUUUCACGGUGUGAUAACUAUCUACGCCUGGUAAAUCCUAUUAGGUCUGUCUGGUCGAGCUUCUAACCAGUUCGUCCUUUGCUGGACAAACACUUUUAAGAUCUGACCUCAAAUCAGGUAGGACUACCCGCUGAACUUAAGCAUAUCAAUAAGGGGAGGAAAAGAAACUAACAAGGAUUCCCCUAGUAACUGCGAGUGAAGCGGGAAAGGCUCAAAUUUAAAAUCUGGCGGUUAUGCCGUCCGAGUUGUAAUCUGGAGAAGCGUUUUCCGUGC